This 255-nucleotide ribosomal RNA is filed under the name uncultured bacterium. RNAcentral's name for it is "partial 16S ribosomal RNA". It matches the Rfam family "Bacterial small subunit ribosomal RNA", at positions 524 to 776 of the family's 1533-position model. The record is from RNAcentral.
UACGUAGGGUGCAAGCGUUAAUCGGAAUUACUGGGCGUAAAGCGUGCGCAGGCGGUGAUGUAAGACAGAUGUGAAAUCCCCGGGCUCCAACCUGGGAACUGCAUUUGUGACUGCAUCGCUGGAGUACGGCAGAGGGGGAUGGAAUUCCGGCGUGUAGCAGUGAAAUGCGUAGAUAUGCGGAGGAACACCGAUGGCGAAGGCAAUCCCCUGGGCCUGUACUGACGCUCCAGUGCACGAAGCGUGGGAGCGAACAGG